This 75-nucleotide small RNA is filed under the name unclassified sequences. RNAcentral's name for it is "NAD+-I sequence". It matches the Rfam family "nadA riboswitch". The record is from Rfam by way of RNAcentral.
GCUUUCAACAUCCCCGUUUCAGGAUGAGCCCGAGGGCGCUGCAAGGCGCACGCGUUCGUGCCUGGAGCUGAAAGC